Molecule: long non-coding RNA, 1829 nt
Filed under: Homo sapiens (human)
Lineage: Eukaryota; Metazoa; Chordata; Mammalia; Primates; Hominidae
Description: non-protein coding lnc-UNC93B1-1:10
Source: RNAcentral
AGCUCUGCGUGGAGAAACUACAGUGAUUCCUGCGUGGAUGCCUGCGGGGAUUCCUGCGUGGAUUGGGGAAGUCCUGCAGCAUUACAGAAUUGUUACCCAACGCCAGGGCCUUGGUCCAGAGUCCUGUUGCUAGAUGCACAGAAAGCAAAUCACUGAGAUGUAAGUAUUGCCAGGGAAGAAGGCUUUAUUCAGGUGACAUCAGCCAGAGAGACAGGAGACGAAACUCAGGUCCACCCCUGUCCCUCUUCCCGACUAAAGUUGUAGGUUGAUAUAGUCUAAAAAGAAAGCAGGAGCCAAGGAAGAGGAGGUGGCCCGCAGGCCGCAGGAGCAGCCUCUCAUUGUCCAAAUGUAGGUUUCUCAAGCAUCCGGCUUGUUAGGAAAUUGGGCCAGUUUCAGAAUCAUCAGCUUGUUCAAAAGUGGGACUUGGGAGGUGAGAAGGGUUGUCAGGCAGGAAACCCUGCAUUCUGCUUUGGCUGAGUGGAUGGGGCCCAGGAGGAUGAGCAGCAUGGGGAAGAGUAUGACUCGUAGUGGGCACCAUGAGGAUAAAGAGUUACAAGCUCCUCUGGCAUGGGCUGGAGGGAAGGGAGACCCUAUCGCAUAACCACAGCCCCACCUGCCUGGAGAGAAGAGGGAGGCGGCCCCGCUCCGUGCCACCCCACUGAGAAAGAUAGGACACCUGGAGCUCCAGCUCAGCAAUCCCUCAAUCCCUCAAUCCUUCAUUUCAUCCUUGCAACAGUCCCAGGAGGUUUUUUUUUUUUUUUUUUUUAAGGCAGAGCCUCCUUCUGUCACCCAGGCCGGAGUUCAGUGACGCAAUCUCAGCUCACGGCAACCUCCACCUCCCGGGUUCAAGCGAUUCUCCUGCCUUAGCCUCCUGAGUAGCUGGGAUUACAGGCAUGCGCCACCACGCCAGGCUAAUUUUUGUAUUUUUAGUAGAGACGGGGUUUCGCCAUGUUAGCCAGGCUGAUCUUGAACUCCUGAUUUCAGGUGAUCCGCCUGCCUCGGCCUCCCAAAGUGCUGGGAUUACAGGUGUGAGCCGCCUCACCCAGCCAGGAGGUAUCAAUGGUUAAUUCUCUCCACUGAACAAAUGGAAAAACUGAGACUCAGAGAGGGCAGGAAUGGCCUUGGAUGCAGUGAUUCCAUGGUGUGGCCUGAGUCAGAUGCCAGGGCCCCUCGGACGCCCGCUCCACAGGAGAGGGGUGACUCAGAGGUGCCGUGUCUGUCCUCUUCUCCUGAAUAUGGGUGGUUGGUGCGGGGGCAGGGGGUGAGUCACUGCACUGUUUCCCAUGCCUCCCACCUCGGCUCUCAUGGUUGGGAGCGGCUGAGGGAGGAGGCUGAGGCAGGGAGAGGGAAGACCCAGGAGGGAGGAGGCAGGCGCUGCUUUGAGGGGUGCCCUGGAGCCUUGGCAAUCCUUUUCCUCCUCGGGCCCGGGAGCCCAGGCCCCGUCUCCACCAGCCGCAGGCGACAGCUGUCAUGGUGGUCUACAGCCUGGGCCUGGGGAAGGGCUCAGAGCAGUGUGCAGCUGCAGCCUUGGGCCUCCAUGGCCACCAGCAGCAUCCUCAGGCGGCGCGGCGAUUGCGGCGGGUAGCGGAGGGCGUUGAGCUUCUCCAUCCCCGGGCUGCGCAGGAGGCAGGCGCGAUGGUGGGAGAAGGUGUCGAAGGAGAACUUGCCAUGGUACCGGCCCAUCCCACUGGCACCUGUACAGUGGCACAGAACACAGGUGGUCAGGCGCUGGGGGUCUCCUAGUCACAGACAGUGGGGCCUAGGCGGGCUACUUCUCCCCUCUGAGCCUCAGUUUCCCCAUCUGUCCAGUGGGCUGAUCAUGAGGCACU